RNAcentral lists this unclassified non-coding RNA (336 nucleotides) under soil metagenome. Its description in RNAcentral is "partial contains 5.8S ribosomal RNA, internal transcribed spacer 2, and large subunit ribosomal RNA". The stretch from base 1 to 120 matches the Rfam family "5.8S ribosomal RNA", at positions 35 to 154 of the family's 154-position model. The record is from RNAcentral.
GAUGAAGAACGCAGCGAAAUGUGAUAAGUAAUGUGAAUUGCAGAAUUCAGUGAAUCAUCGAAUCUUUGAACGCACAUUGCGCCCGCCAGUAUUCUGGCGGGCAUGCCUGUUCGAGCGUCAUUUCAACCAUCAAGCCCCCGGCUUGUGUUGGGGACCUGCGGCUGCCGCAGGCCCUGAAAACCAGUGGCGGGCUCGCUGUCACACCGAGCGUAGUAGAUUUUCAUCUCGCUCAGGGCGUGCUGCGGGUUCCGGCCGUAAAAAGCCUUAUUUACCCAAGGUUGACCUCGGAUCAGGUAGGAAGACCCGCUGAACUUAAGCAUAUCAAUAAGCGGAGGA